RNAcentral lists this small RNA (69 nucleotides) under Sinorhizobium meliloti 2011. RNAcentral describes it as "putative ncRNA". The record is from RNAcentral. Lineage: Bacteria; Pseudomonadati; Pseudomonadota; Alphaproteobacteria; Hyphomicrobiales; Rhizobiaceae.
UUUGUUGACGGUCGACGGGCAAGGAACCCGAACCGGGCCGGCACAUACACCAUAUGGCCGGCCUUGUCA